RNAcentral lists this ribosomal RNA (235 nucleotides) under uncultured bacterium. Its description in RNAcentral is "partial small subunit ribosomal RNA". It matches the Rfam family "Bacterial small subunit ribosomal RNA", at positions 26 to 291 of the family's 1533-position model. The record is from RNAcentral.
AGAACGAACGCUGGCGGCAGGCUUAACACAUGCAAGUCGAACGCCCCGCAAGGGGAGUGGCAGACGGGUGAGUAACACGUGGGAACAUACCCUUCGGUACGGAACAACUCGGGGAAACGCGAGCUAAUACCGUAUACGCCUUGGCGGGGAAAGAUUUAUCGCCGAAGGAUUGGCCCGCGUCCGAUUAGCUAGUUGGUGAGGUAAUGGCUCACCAAGGCGACGAUCGGUAGCUGGU